Molecule: ribosomal RNA, 498 nt
Filed under: uncultured bacterium
Lineage: Bacteria
Description: partial 16S ribosomal RNA
Rfam family: Bacterial small subunit ribosomal RNA
Source: RNAcentral
AUUGAACGCUGGCGGCAUGCCCUACACAUGCAAGUCGAACGGUAACAGGUCUUCGGAUGCUGACGAGUGGCGAACGGGUGAGUAAUACAUCGGAACGUGCCUAGUAGUGGGGGAUAACUACUCGAAAGAGUGGCUAAUACCGCAUGAGAUCUACGGAUGAAAGCAGGGGAUCGCAAGACCUUGUGCUACUAGAGCGGCCGAUGGCAGAUGAGGUAGUUGGUGGGAUAAAAGCUUACCAAGCCGACGAUCUGUAGCUGGUCUGAGAGGAAGAUCAGCCACACUGGGACUGAGACACGGCCCAGACUCCUGCGGGAGGCAGCAGUGGGGAAUUUUGGACAAUGGGCGAAAGCCUGAUCCAGCCAUGCCGCGUGCAGGAUGAAGGCCUUCGGGUUGUAAACUGCUUUUGUACGGAACGAAAAGCCCCGGGUUAAUACCCUGGGGUCAUGACGGUACCGUAAGAAUAAGCACCGGCUAACUACGUGCCAGCCGCCGCCGCAG